RNAcentral lists this ribosomal RNA (262 nucleotides) under uncultured bacterium. RNAcentral's name for it is "partial 16S ribosomal RNA". It matches the Rfam family "Bacterial small subunit ribosomal RNA", at positions 793 to 1055 of the family's 1533-position model. The record is from RNAcentral.
GUCCACGCCGUAAACGAUGCCGACUAGCCGUUGGGCCCUUAUAGGGUUUAGUGGCGUAGCUAACGCGAUAAGUCGGCCGCCUGGGGAGUACGGCCGCAAGGUUAAACUCAAAUGAAUUGACGGGGCCCGCACAAGCGGUGGAGCAUGUGGUUUAAUUCGAUGCAACGCGAAGAACCUUACCUACCCUUGACAUCCUCUUAAAGUUUUCAGAGAUGAGAAUGUGCCUUCGGGAAAAGAGAGACAGGUGCUGCAUGGCUGUCGU